Molecule: ribosomal RNA, 301 nt
Filed under: uncultured bacterium
Lineage: Bacteria
Description: partial 16S ribosomal RNA
Rfam family: Bacterial small subunit ribosomal RNA
Source: RNAcentral
CAGUAGCCGCGGGAAUACGAAGGGGGCUAGCGUUGCUCGGAAUUACUGGGCGUAGAGGGAGCGUAGGCGGAUAGUUUAGUCAGAGGUGAAAGCCCAGGGCUCAACCUUGGAAUUGCCUUUGAUACUGGCUAUCUUGAGUAUGGAAGAGGUAUGUGGAACUCCGAGUGUAGAGGUGAAAUUCGUAGAUAUUCGGAGGAACACCAGUGGCGAAGGCGACAUACUGGUCCAUUACUGACGCUGAGGCUCGAAAGCGUGGGGAGCAAACAGGAUUAGAUACCCCAGUAGUCCCUGUCUCUUAUAC